CCUCGGGAGGCAGCAGUGGGGAAUAUUGCACAAUGGGCGCAAGCCUGAUGCAGCGACGCCGCGUGAGGGAUGACGGCCUUCGGGUUGUAAACCUCUUUCAGUAGGGAAGAAGCGAAAGUGACGGUACCUGCAGAAGAAGCGCCGGCUAACUACGUGCCAGCAGCCGCGGUAAUACGUAGGGCGCAAGCGUUAUCCGGAAUUAUUGGGCGUAAAGAGCUCGUAGGCGGUUUGUCGCGUCUGCCGUGAAAGUCCGGGGCUCAACUCCGGAUCUGCGGUGGGUACGGGCAGACUAGAGUGAUGUAGGGGAGACUGGAAUUCCUGGUGUAGCGGUGAAAUGCGCAGAUAUCAGGAGGAACACCGAUGGCGAAGGCAGGUCUCUGGGCAUUAACUGACGCUGAGGAGCGAAAGCAUGGGGAGCGAACAGGAUUAGAUACCCUGGUAGUCCAUGACGUACGUAGGCGACGUAGUGGUGG
RNAcentral lists this ribosomal RNA (473 nucleotides) under uncultured bacterium. RNAcentral's name for it is "bacterial SSU rRNA". It matches the Rfam family "Bacterial small subunit ribosomal RNA", at positions 339 to 826 of the family's 1533-position model. The record is from RNAcentral.